AUACGUAGGGGGCGAGCGUUGUCCGGAAUGAUUGGGCGUAAAGGGCGCGUAGGCGGCGCGGUAAGUCUGGAGUGAAAGUCCUGCUUUCAAGGUGGGAAUUGCUUUGGAUACUGCCGCGCUUGAGUGCAGGAGAGGUUAUCGGAAUUCCCGGUGUAGCGGUGAAAUGCGUAGAGAUCAGGAGGAACACCAGUGGCGAAGGCGGGUAACUGGACUGCAACUGACGCUGAGGCGCGAAAGUGUGGGGAGCAAACAGGAUUAGAUACCCUGGUAGUCCACGCGGUAAACGAUGAAUGCUAGGUGUUGCGGGUAUCGACCCCUGCAGUGCCGGAGUAAACACAAUAAGCAUUCCGCCUGGGGAGUACGGCCGCAAGGUUGAAACUCAAAUGAAUUGACGGGG
Molecule: ribosomal RNA, 397 nt
Filed under: uncultured bacterium
Lineage: Bacteria
Description: partial 16S ribosomal RNA
Rfam family: Bacterial small subunit ribosomal RNA
Source: RNAcentral